RNAcentral lists this non-coding RNA (148 nucleotides) under Pan paniscus (pygmy chimpanzee). RNAcentral also lists the same sequence under 1 other name. The record is from Rfam by way of RNAcentral. Lineage: Eukaryota; Metazoa; Chordata; Mammalia; Primates; Hominidae.
GCCAGGCAUGGUGGCGCAUGCCUGUAAUCCCAGCUACUCAGGAGGCUGAGGCAGGAGAAUUGCUUGAACCCGGGAGGCAGAGGCUGCAGUGAGCCAAGAUUGUGCCACUGCACUCCAGCCUGGGUGAAAGAGCAAGACUCCAUCUCAA